This 428-nucleotide ribosomal RNA is filed under the name uncultured bacterium. Its description in RNAcentral is "bacterial SSU rRNA". It matches the Rfam family "Bacterial small subunit ribosomal RNA", at positions 355 to 775 of the family's 1533-position model. The record is from RNAcentral.
UGGGGAAUUUUGCGCAAUGGGGAAACCCUGACGCAGCAACGCCGCGUGAGUGAUGAAGGCCUUCGGGUCGUAAAGCUCUGUCAGAGAGGAAGAAAUGCAGGGGUGCUAAUAUCAUCUAUGCUUGACGGUACCCUCAAAGGAAGCACCGGCUAACUCCGUGCCAGCAGCCGCGGUAAUACGGAGGGUGCGAGCGUUGUUCGGAAUUAUUGGGCGUAAAGCGCGUGUAGGCGGUUUGAUAAGUCUGAUGUGAAAGCCCCGGGCUCAACCUGGGAAGUGCAUUGGAAACUGUCAGACUUGAAUACGGGAGAGGGUAGUGGAAUUCCUAGUGUAGGAGUGAAAUCCGUAGAUAUUAGGAGGAACACCGGUGGCGAAGGCGGCUACCUGGACCGAUAUUGACGCUGAGACGCGAAAGCGUGGGGAGCAAACAG